AUGCCGCGGCGAAUACGUUCCCGGGUCUUGUACACACCGCCCGUCACACCACGAGAGUUUGCAACACCCGAAGUCGGUGAGGUAACCGCAAGGAGCCAGCCGCCGAAGGUGGGGCAGAUGAUUGGGGUGAAGUCGUAACAAGGUAUCCGUACCGGAAGGUGCGGAUGGAUCACCUCCUUUCU
RNAcentral lists this ribosomal RNA (182 nucleotides) under Aneurinibacillus migulanus. RNAcentral's name for it is "partial 16S ribosomal RNA". It matches the Rfam family "Bacterial small subunit ribosomal RNA", at positions 1354 to 1533 of the family's 1533-position model. Lineage: Bacteria; Bacillati; Bacillota; Bacilli; Caryophanales; Paenibacillaceae. The record is from RNAcentral.